GUCCCGGUAGCUCAGCUGGAUAGAGCAACGCCCUCCUAAGGCGUAGGCCGCGGGUUCGACUCCCGCCUGGGACAUCA
RNAcentral lists this transfer RNA (77 nucleotides) under Jeotgalicoccus sp. RNAcentral's name for it is "tRNA-Arg". It matches the Rfam family "tRNA". From Rfam's summary of the family: Transfer RNA (tRNA) molecules are approximately 80 nucleotides in length. Their secondary structure includes four short double-helical elements and three loops (D, anti-codon, and T loops). The record is from RNAcentral. Lineage: Bacteria; Bacillati; Bacillota; Bacilli; Caryophanales; Staphylococcaceae.